UACGUAGGGGGCAAGCGUUGUCCGGAAUUAUUGGGCGUAAAGAGCGUGUAGGCGGUCCGGUAAGUCAGCUGUGAAAGUCAAGGGCUCAACCCUUGAAAGCCGGUUGAUACUGUCGGGCUAGAGUCCGGAAGAGGCGAGUGGAAUUCCCGGUGUAGCGGUGAAAUGCGCAGAUAUCGGGAGGAACACCAAUAGCGAAGGCAGCUCGCUGGGACGGUACUGACACUAAGGCGCGAAAGCGUGGGGAGCAAACAGG
This 253-nucleotide ribosomal RNA is filed under the name uncultured bacterium. RNAcentral's name for it is "partial 16S ribosomal RNA". It matches the Rfam family "Bacterial small subunit ribosomal RNA", at positions 524 to 776 of the family's 1533-position model. The record is from RNAcentral.